GGGCAAUUAGCUCAGUUGGUUAGAGUAUCACCUUGACAUGGUGGGGGUCACUGAUUCGAAUUCAGUAUUGCCCA
This 74-nucleotide transfer RNA is filed under the name Treponema sp. CETP13. RNAcentral's name for it is "tRNA-Val". The record is from RNAcentral. Lineage: Bacteria; Pseudomonadati; Spirochaetota; Spirochaetia; Treponematales; Treponemataceae.